AUGCAUGUCUAAGUACAAACUUUUACAUAGUGAAACCGCGAAUGGCUCAUUAAAUCAGUUAUGGUUCCUUAGAUCGUACAAUCCUACUUGGAUAACUGUGGCAAUUCUAGAGCUAAUACAUGCAAAUCAGCUCCGACCUUCGGGGAAGAGCGCUUUUAUUAGAUCAAGACCAAUACGGAUUUCGGUCCGUUCCUUUGGUGACUCUGGAUAACUUUGUGCUGAUCGCAUGGCCUCGCGCCGGCGACGUAUCUUUCAAAUGUCUGCCCUAUCAACUGUCGAUGGUACGUGCUAUGCCUACCAUGGUUUUUACGGGUAACGGAGAAUCAGGGUUCGAUUCCGGAGAGGGAGCAUGAGAAACGGCUACCACA
This 368-nucleotide ribosomal RNA is filed under the name Vanadis formosa. RNAcentral's name for it is "SSU rRNA". It matches the Rfam family "Eukaryotic small subunit ribosomal RNA", at positions 51 to 414 of the family's 1831-position model. Lineage: Eukaryota; Metazoa; Annelida; Polychaeta; Phyllodocida; Alciopidae. The record is from RNAcentral.